AACACAUGCAAGUCGAGCGAGGAGAUCCUUCGGGAUGAUCCUAGCGGCGGACGGGUGAGUAACACGUGGGCAACCUGCCUCAUAGAGAGGAAUAGCCUUCCGAAAGGGAGAUUAAUACCUCAUAACAUUGCAGUUUCGCAUGGAACAGCAAUUAAAGGAGUAAUCCGCUAUGAGAUGGGCCCGCGGCGCAUUAGCUAGUUGGUGAGGUAACGGCUCACCAAGGCGACGAUGCGUAGCCGACCUGAGAGGGUGAUCGGCCACAUUGGGACUGAGACACGGCCCAGACUCCUACGGGAGGCAGCAGUGGGGAAUAUUGCACAAUGGGGGAAACCCUGAUGCCAGCAACGCCGCGUGAGUGAUGACGGCCUUCGGGUUGUAAAGCUCUGUCUUCAGGGACGAUAAUGACGGUACCUGAGGAGGAAGCCACGGCUAACUACGUGCCAGCCGCCGC
This 451-nucleotide ribosomal RNA is filed under the name uncultured bacterium. Its description in RNAcentral is "bacterial SSU rRNA". It matches the Rfam family "Bacterial small subunit ribosomal RNA", at positions 50 to 518 of the family's 1533-position model. The record is from RNAcentral.